This 230-nucleotide ribosomal RNA is filed under the name uncultured bacterium. RNAcentral's name for it is "partial 16S ribosomal RNA". It matches the Rfam family "Bacterial small subunit ribosomal RNA", at positions 15 to 244 of the family's 1533-position model. The record is from RNAcentral.
GAUCCUGGCUCAGGACGAACGCUGGCGGCGUGCCUAACACAUGCAAGUCGAACGGACGAAGGAGCUUCGGCUCCCUAGUUAGUGGCGAACGGGUGAGUAACGCGUGAGCAACCUGCCUUUCAGAGGGGGACAACAGCUGGAAACGGCUGCUAAUACCGCAUAACAUGAUCUAGCCGCAUGACUGGAUCAUCAAAGAUUUAUCGCUGAAAGAUGGGCUCGCGUCUGAUUAG